Molecule: unclassified non-coding RNA, 254 nt
Filed under: Pleosporormiella terricola
Lineage: Eukaryota; Fungi; Ascomycota; Dothideomycetes; Pleosporales; Sporormiaceae
Also listed under: 1 other name
Description: Preussia terricola partial internal transcribed spacer region
Rfam family: Eukaryotic small subunit ribosomal RNA (bases 1-46)
Source: RNAcentral
AAGUCGUAACAAGGUUUCCGUAGGUGAACCUGCGGAAGGAUCAUUAUCGUGGGGCUUCGGCCCCGUCGAGAUAGCACCCUUGCCUUUAUGAGUACCUUGGUUCCCUCCCCCGUACCCUCGGGGAGCGGGGGGGACCUCGUCUGUUUCCCCAACGGUAGCCCCGCGGGGACACGAAACACGCUGUAAACACCUGUAACAGUCUGAUAAACAAACCAAAAAAAUCAAAACUUUCAACAACGGAUCUCUUGGUUCUG